GACAUAGGGUGCAAGCGUUGUCCGGAAUCACUGGGCGUAAAGGGCGCGUAGGUGGCUCUCCAAGUCCGUGGUGAAAGCUCGAUGCUUAACAUCGAGUCGGCCACGGAAACUGGGGGGCUGGAGCACUGUAGGGGCAGAUGGAAUUCCGGGUGUAGCGGUGGAAUGCGUAGAGAUCCGGAAGAACACCGGUGGCGAAGGCGGUCUGCUGGGCAGUUGCUGACACUGAGGCGCGACAGCGUGGGGAGCAAACAGG
RNAcentral lists this ribosomal RNA (253 nucleotides) under uncultured bacterium. RNAcentral describes it as "partial 16S ribosomal RNA". It matches the Rfam family "Bacterial small subunit ribosomal RNA", at positions 524 to 776 of the family's 1533-position model. The record is from RNAcentral.